CCCGGGUCUUGUACACACUGCCCGUCACACCAUGGGAGUUGGUUUUACCUUAAGUCGUUGGGCUAACCUUCGGGAGGCAGGCGACCACGGUAGAAUCAGUGACUGGGGUG
Molecule: ribosomal RNA, 110 nt
Filed under: uncultured bacterium
Lineage: Bacteria
Description: partial 16S ribosomal RNA
Rfam family: Bacterial small subunit ribosomal RNA
Source: RNAcentral